UACGUAUGUCGCAAGCGUUAUCCGGAAUUAUUGGGCAUAAAGGGCAUCUAGGCGGCCAGACAAGUCUGGGGUGAAAACUUGCGGCUCAACCGCAAGCCUGCCCUGGAAACUGUUUGGCUAGAGUGCUGGAGAGGUGGACGGAACUGCACGAGUAGAGGUGAAAUUCGUAGAUAUGUGCAGGAAUGCCGAUGAUGAAGAUAGUUCACUGGACGGUAACUGACGCUGAAGUGCGAAAGCUGGGGGAGCGAACAGG
Molecule: ribosomal RNA, 253 nt
Filed under: uncultured bacterium
Lineage: Bacteria
Also listed under: 1 other name
Description: partial 16S ribosomal RNA
Rfam family: Bacterial small subunit ribosomal RNA
Source: RNAcentral